This 476-nucleotide ribosomal RNA is filed under the name Streptococcus parasanguinis. Its description in RNAcentral is "bacterial SSU rRNA". It matches the Rfam family "Bacterial small subunit ribosomal RNA", at positions 28 to 487 of the family's 1533-position model. The record is from RNAcentral. Lineage: Bacteria; Bacillati; Bacillota; Bacilli; Lactobacillales; Streptococcaceae.
GAUGAACGCUGGCGGCGUGCCUAAUACAUGCAAGUAGAACGCUGAAGCUUGGUGCUUGCACCGAGCGGAUGAGUUGCGAACGGGUGAGUAACGCGUAGGUAACCUGCCUCUUAGCGGGGGAUAACUAUUGGAAACGAUAGCUAAUACCGCAUAAAAGUCGAUAUCGCAUGAUGUUGAUUUGAAAGGUGCAAUUGCAUCACUAAGAGAUGGACCUGCGUUGUAUUAGCUAGUUGGUGAGGUAACGGCUCACCAAGGCGACGAUACAUAGCCGACCUGAGAGGGUGAUCGGCCACACUGGGACUGAGACACGGCCCAGACUCCUACGGGAGGCAGCAGUAGGGAAUCUUCGGCAAUGGGGGCAACCCUGACCGAGCAACGCCGCGUGAGUGAAGAAGGUUUUCGGAUCGUAAAGCUCUGUUGUAAGAGAAGAACGAGUGUGAGAGUGGAAAGUUCACACUGUGACGGUAACUACCAGA